Molecule: ribosomal RNA, 301 nt
Filed under: uncultured bacterium
Lineage: Bacteria
Description: partial 16S ribosomal RNA
Rfam family: Bacterial small subunit ribosomal RNA
Source: RNAcentral
CAGUCGCCACGGUAAUACAGAGGGUGCGAGCGUUAAUCGGAUUUACUGGGCGUAAAGCGUGCGUAGGCGGCUAAUUGAGUCGGAUGUGAAAUCCCCGAGCUUAACUUGGGAAUUGCAUUCGAUACUGGUUAGCUAGAGUGUGGGAGAGGAUGGUAGAAUUCCAGGUGUAGCGGUGAAAUGCGUAGAGAUCUGGAGGAAUACCGAUGGCGAAGGCAGCCAUCUGGCCUAACACUGACGCUGAGGUACGAAAGCAUGGGGAGCAAACAGGAUUAGAUACCCCGGUAGUCCCUGUCUCUUAUAC